GGAGGUGUCUCUACUCUAGCUACCCUUUCCCCGCCCCCUCCUCGACUUGGGGAACCCAGGCCAGGGCAGCUUGGGGCAGCUUGAGAGAAUCAGGCUUGGCUUGCCCUGGUCUCGGCCCAACUGGCACAGUUCAGACCCAGGGCACCAGGAGCUGUGAGUUUGUCUGGUGGAGGGAAGGAGCAUUGCUUGGAAAGGAUUGGAUUCCAGCCCUGGCUCUGCCUCUUACUUGCUGUGUAAUAGUGGAAAAUGUGGUUCAAAGAGGACAACUGGCUUGCCAAAAGUCACCUGGGUAAUAAGUAUGAAAAAGGA
RNAcentral lists this long non-coding RNA (309 nucleotides) under Monodelphis domestica (gray short-tailed opossum). RNAcentral's name for it is "lncRNA (ENSMODG00000033775.2)". The record is from RNAcentral. Lineage: Eukaryota; Metazoa; Chordata; Mammalia; Didelphimorphia; Didelphidae.